UACGAAGGGGGCUAGCGUUGUUCGGAAUUACUGGGCGUAAAGCGCACGUAGGCGGACAUUUAAGUUGGAGGUGAAGGCCUUGGGCUCAACCCAAGAAUUGCCUUUGAUACUGGAUGUCUCGAGACCGGGAGAGGUGAGUGGAAUUCCGAGUGUAGAGGUGAAAUUCGUAGAUAUUCGGAAGAACACCAGUGGCGAAGGCGGCUCACUGGCCCGGUUCUGACGCUGAGGUGCGAAAGCGUGGGGAGCAAACAGG
Molecule: ribosomal RNA, 253 nt
Filed under: uncultured bacterium
Lineage: Bacteria
Description: partial 16S ribosomal RNA
Rfam family: Bacterial small subunit ribosomal RNA
Source: RNAcentral